GGCGCGCUGGGAUUGCUGUUUGGGCCCGGCAAGGCCUGCAUUUUUUUUUUCGUUUCUCGUUUUACUUAGCCAGGUUUUUUUCGAUCCUUCCGUUUCAUUUCUUUUAUUAUGCUUUAUUUUUUUUCUGCCUUUUGCUUAUUUUUAGGUUAUUAUUUUUCUUCUUCUUUUUUCAUUACCUAGGUUGGUUUUCCAAAUACUCAUGAACAUUUGUUUAAUG
Molecule: long non-coding RNA, 217 nt
Filed under: Hordeum vulgare
Lineage: Eukaryota; Viridiplantae; Streptophyta; Magnoliopsida; Poales; Poaceae
Description: long non-coding RNA (HVUL_LNC010185)
Source: RNAcentral